Molecule: non-coding RNA, 2834 nt
Organism: Aegilops tauschii subsp. strangulata
Lineage: Eukaryota; Viridiplantae; Streptophyta; Magnoliopsida; Poales; Poaceae
Source: RefSeq, a predicted model, not a curated record
GCGUCAGGGGCGAAUCCUCGAGCCCCACGUCCUCUUCUUCCCUUCCGCGCCGUCCUGCCUCCCCUCCCGCACCGCCGCCUUCUCUCCACGCCUCAUCGUCGACCACCCUGGCAUGUUCUUAUGGGCCUCUUCCCCGGCGCUCAAGGUGCAGCACGGCGCCGCUCCUCCGCACGGGCAUGGCCACAUCUGCCUGUGCUCGGCAGAAGGAGUGGCUGCGGUGAUGGCAGAUGUGUGAGGAGGAGGAUGUCGUGGUCAUGGCGGCGUGCAACACCAGGCUGCGGCGCUAUUCGUCGCGGCGGAGGUGAGUGGCUGUGGUGUUGGCAGAUGCAUGAGGAGGAGGAGGAGGAGGAGGCCGUGGCCAUGGCGGCGCGCGAUGGAGGUCGUACCAGGCCAGCGCGCGGCACUAGGCUGCGAGGGAGAAAGAGAGAAGAAAUAGGGGAGGGAGGCCCGACAACGGACGGGAGAGGGUUGCCGACUUGCCGGUCGGCGUCGGCCUGUGCCGGCGAGGUCGCUCGCCUGGCAGCCAAGGAGGGAAAGGCGACGGGACCGGCAUCCAGGGCGGCGGCGGCGGCUGGACUCCAGAAGCUGGCCGAGGUGGUACUCGCCAAAGAAGCAGGCGGCAGCGCAUGCUGGUGGCGCACGGGUCGGGUCAAGGCUGGUGGCGCACGGGGUGGGUCUGGACCGAAGGCCGGGGCCUGCGGGGGAGAGUGGUAGGGGUUGGUGCAGCGGCAAAUACGGGAUGGAUGGGCCGUGAUGGGAGGCUCGCCAGCCGAAGCAGCAGGAGCAAGAAGGCGGGGUCGGAAGUGGAGGGAGGCUCGCUGGCCGGUGCAGCAGGAGCAACUGCAGCUGCUGUUGGUCGGCCUGACGCACUGCCGCAAGUCCUCAACCAUACCACCGCUGUUGUGGCCCGCACGCUCGACAGGAGCAGCUGCGCCGUCACUGGCGGCGAGUUCAACGGCCGCCGCCUCCUUUUCUCUUCAAAUCCAGUAAGCCCUCCCCUGGGUGCAUCAGGGGCUGUGGUUCCCUCAAGUACGGUGAAGCACCAGAUUUCUUCUAAAGUAUGCUGAUUGUUAUUCCUUAUAAGGGAGUACAAUAUCCGUUUGAAGACUCAUUAGGCCCAGAAUAUUUGCUGGGUAGUUAUGAUUCAGACCAUUCCUUAACAAAAUGCUUAUAUGGCCUGACGGUAUGAGUUCAGCUUCAGACUGUCAAGUUCGCAUCAAAUUUAUUGUUCCAUUUUGGAACAGUGUACUUUCAUGAGUAUUUUUCUAUUGAGUAUACUUUCACAAAUAAUCUUACAAAGUGGAAGUAUCAAGGAAUUAAUACAUAGAAGUUACGACCAUUGUUUCGAGUGAUCUCUGAAGAUGGAUUGCAGGUAAGUGGAUUAACAAUUUUGUACUGAUUCAUGUUUCUGUUGAAGUGUAAGCGUAAAGGAUAUCAUGUUGGGUUGCAUUUCCAUGUGGGGAAUGGAUAUCCUAAACCUGAGAAAGAACCAAUGCAGAUGAUAGUUUCUUAGGAAUAUGAUCGUGUUGUUACAGUAAAGAUGGUUGACCGUAGCACCUGCUAUAGUUCAGUUUACUACUGGGAAUAUCAUUCAGCCUCCGAACUAUGUAUUACAGCUACAAAUUUGGCUAGGGAAUCUGUCUCAUUUUAAUGUUGCAAUGAAGUGGUUCGGAUGCAGAGGGUUUUUUACUUCACUACUUUCUGACAUAUAUAAGUUAAUAUUUGUUAGGUCUAUUCCUGCCGAAAUAUGUAUGAAAUGUUUGUCAGUGUCCUCUUUUUUAAUUGGUUUAUAUAUUUAACUUCCAUUUCUUAGCAUUCGAAUGAAAUAUACUAAAUUGACUUUCAUUUUUCUGUCCACUACUCACAAAUUUCACUAGAAGCAUCAAUGUUUGCUGGUGCUGACCUUUUCAGAGACUGCAGCCAUGUGUUUGUCCAGUACAUUAUUUAGACAUAUGCGGUGCUGCCUCCAACCCAUAUAUGGAGAAGGUUCCGUAAACUGUGUAUUUGAAUAUGGCUGAUUUGGAAAGGAGGAGGUCACUGGUUCAUCUGCAAAUGUGUGGACCUCCCUCCCUUUCGCUCGAUUGCUCCACCUUGCUCCUUUGGCUGAUUAACAGCUAUUUCCGCAGCCCAUGACGCUGGUUGAGGUUAGUCUUUCAGCAUCUGUUUUCUUCAUUACAUGUCUUUUAAAUUGCAGGAUAGGCCCUUACAAACAAUAUAUUUGCCUGAUGGGUUUCCCUAUUAUGGCUCAUGGUCAUAGAUGUAGUUUGCCUUUGCUGUUGUUGUUUCUCAAUAUUUCUAUCCCACUAUACUAUAUGUGUUUUGAAUGUACCUGUAUACGAAAGAUGAUUACCUCCAUUAUUAUUGUUCGUACUACCAUUUUUACCCAAGAUUCAAAACACCUAAUGUGUGCCCUUUUUUCAAGUAUCUUUAAUGCAGUCUAUUGGUUCUUAACUUACUACCAACUACUAGCGGAGAUAGCUUUCUGAAAUAAGCAUGCUAAGCGUGAACGUUGUUUUACUUACGGGAAGAACCCUCAGGUCCUUGUGGGAGCUGCAUACAAACCUGUGUGGAUGUAUUUGGUUGGUAGCUGCAACAGCCUGCCAAUCCGAUAAGAGAAGCUAGCCAAGGGGCCAUCAGCAAUAGUGUAGCUUCAGCAUCCUGUCAAUCGGAGGAGAGGCCAAAGGAGUCAUCGGCAAGAAGCAACCUUAUCCUAGAACUUGAAGUGGAGUAAUGGUUAACAAUGUUUGAUGGAUCAUAUGUUUUCUUUUGUUCACACUUGAGAGCUACAAGCAUUAAGAUGUUAUGAUAAAUUAUGUAGCAAAGUUUGCUUUGUC